RNAcentral lists this ribosomal RNA (429 nucleotides) under bacterium. RNAcentral's name for it is "partial 16S ribosomal RNA". It matches the Rfam family "Bacterial small subunit ribosomal RNA", at positions 355 to 776 of the family's 1533-position model. The record is from RNAcentral.
UAGGGAAUCUUCGGCAAUGGGGGCAACCCUGACCGAGCAACGCCGCGUGAGUGAAGAAGGUUUUCGGAUCGUAAAGCUCUGUUGUAAGAGAAGAACGUGUGUGAGAGUGGAAAGUUCACACAGUGACGGUAACUUACCAGAAAGGGACGGCUAACUACGUGCCAGCAGCCGCGGUAAUACGUAGGUCCCGAGCGUUGUCCGGAUUUAUUGGGCGUUAAGCGAGCGCAGGCGGUUUAAUAAGUCUGAAGUUAAAGGCAGUGGCUUAACCAUUGUUCGCUUUGGAAACUGUUAAACUUGAGUGCAGAAGGGGAGAGUGGAAUUCCAUGUGUAGCGGUGAAAUGCGUAGAUAUAUGGAGGAACACCGGUGGCGAAAGCGGCUCUCUGGUCUGUAACUGACGCUGAGGCUCGAAAGCGUGGGGAGCAAACAGG